GCAGCUUGCUACACAGAAAGCCAGAGACCGAGAGCCAAUGACUGAGACUAUGAGUAUUGCCAAGGAAGAAGGCUUUAAUCGGGUGCUGCAGCUGAAAAGAUGAGAGCUCAGCCUCAAAUCCAUCUCCCUGACCAACUAAAGCUAAGGAUUUAUAUAGCAGGGAAGAAGACAGGAACUAGGAAGGGGCAAGGAAGCGAUCCUGAUGAAUGAAGGGUCAGGCAUUUCAUUGUCUGGAUGUGGCGAUCUGGGAGAGAAGAGAGGAAGGCAGAGAAGGCCUGAACAAGCCUGGCUGGGGAGGGCUCCCAGAGUCCUUGUGACAGAGAUGACUCUACCCACACUUGGGAGACUGAUGUGUCAGGAAAGCAUGCACAGCCAGUUAGGAAAGAAAUUACUCAGAGGCCCGGCCGCCCAUCGUCUGAGAUGUGGGGAGCGCCUCUGCCC
RNAcentral lists this long non-coding RNA (441 nucleotides) under Homo sapiens (human). RNAcentral's name for it is "HSALNT0132835". The record is from RNAcentral. Lineage: Eukaryota; Metazoa; Chordata; Mammalia; Primates; Hominidae.